GGACUGCAGGCUGCAACUCGCCUGCACGAAGUUGGAAUUGCUAGUAAUCGUGGAUCAGCAUGCCACGGUGAAUACGUUCCCGGGUCUUGUACACACCGCCCGUCACACCAUGGGAGCCGGUAAUACCCGAAGUCGGUAGUCUAACCGCAAGGAGGACGCCGCCGAAGGUGGGGUUGAUGAUUAGGGUUAAGUCGUAACAAGGUAAC
RNAcentral lists this ribosomal RNA (206 nucleotides) under uncultured bacterium. Its description in RNAcentral is "partial 16S ribosomal RNA". It matches the Rfam family "Bacterial small subunit ribosomal RNA", at positions 1295 to 1500 of the family's 1533-position model. The record is from RNAcentral.